Long non-coding RNA from Vigna angularis (adzuki bean), 403 nucleotides. RefSeq lists it as uncharacterized. The transcript has 3 exons. Lineage: Eukaryota; Viridiplantae; Streptophyta; Magnoliopsida; Fabales; Fabaceae. The record is from RefSeq and is a predicted model, not a curated record.
AGAAAUAGAGAAGAAAGAGUUAGGGAGAAAUUUUUAGUUGCAAGAAGAGUAGAGGUUCUGAAGGAUUUCGGGGAAACAAAUUCGGAGCAGGAGAUUAAGUCUGGAAUAGAGUUACCUUCUGAACAUACGUAGCCCCAUUGCAUUAAACAACCUCUGCAUGAGCCAAACUCUCAUAUUAUAUAUAAAGAAGCAGCUUCAGAGAAAUAGCUACAAAGAUAAAGAUACUCUAAACUCUGAAUUAGCGAGAAUUUCAACAAUUUGCGUUGCAAUGGAGAGAAAAACCCUAGGAAUUAUGUUCUUUUUCCUCCUCGUCUUAACUUCUGAUGUAUGUGUAAAGAGAGCAGAGGCAGAUUGUUAUACACCAAGUGCACAUUUCAAAGGAGCGUGCUUUCAGAGUGACAAC